This 196-nucleotide non-coding RNA is filed under the name Vigna radiata var. radiata (mung bean). Lineage: Eukaryota; Viridiplantae; Streptophyta; Magnoliopsida; Fabales; Fabaceae. The record is from Rfam by way of RNAcentral.
AGGGUGUAAUAAGCCAUGAAAUGUUUUGGAAAAUUGAAAAUAAGUGUAGAUUUGAAGAUUCCUUAUAUAAGUCAAUCUUUCGAAUUGUUAUGAAUUCUCGAUCAGGUAAGAGACAAUAUAAUGAACUGAAACAUCUUUGUAGUCAGAGGAAAAGAAAAUAAAAACAAUUCUCAUAAUAACAGCGAGCGAAAUGAUA